UCAGAUUUCGGACGUAUUACACAAAUUAAAAUUUACGUUAUUGAAAGUAAAUAAAAUACAAAGAGGUAUGACAUGAUAUUUAUUGUACGUAAAAUGCCAAUUUUGGAUAAAGAAUAUGACUUAAUCGUGUUUUGUUUUAAAAUACAAUGCCUCGCAAUAUUGCCCUACACUGCUCAAUUGGAAAAGUUGGUCGAAUUAAUGGAAUCAAAACCAUGGAUAGCCACCGGGCAUGCUCGCGCUGCACAUGCUAUAGAACGCAGUCAUUAUGCAUGGAUGAAAAUCCAACAACUUGAAUAAUAGCAAUGGAAAUGGCUGCAUCAAAACAUGGCAACAAAGGCAAAAGUAAUGGAAAGAUAUAAAGGUGCUGUAAAGAGGAAAUGCAGAUGCAUUGCCAUUGCUAGAAUUAGAACAGGCGAUGGCAUGGAUGAAACAGCAGUAGCAGAACUGACUCACCUAGAAUGGGGAAUUGUUUUUCUAAUGGGGGGAAUAAGCUGCUACAGGGCAGGAAGACUUAGAAUUGCCUGUUAUCCAUGAAUUAUUGUUAAUAAUCAAACAAUUAUUAGUGGACAAUCACAAAGCAUACUGAUAAAACAGAAUCCCUCUACUGUAGCUGUUGCAGGCAAGGAAUAAACAAGGGAAAUUUUAACGAAUGCUUUUCAAGCAGAGGAAGUUAAUCAAACUCCUAAGUGUCCUGCAGUAGAGGAGCAGCUGGUGAGAGUGAACGUCGGCGAUGGGCGCACAGUUCAAGAGUCGUGGCUGUAGUAUGCCAACAGCAUGACGCGGACUCCUGCAAAGUUCUCCGUAACUCUGCUCUGAAAUGCCUAGCAAACUCGCCAAAACAGGUCAAAACCGAAAGUUUUAUAGCUAUUAAAGAGUGACGUGUUUUAUAUAUUUAGUAGGAUGAAAAAAAACAAUUAUGGUCAAAAAUCGGUUCUUCGAUGGAUUUCACUGACAUACAGGUUAUACAUUACAAUAUAUUUUUAUAACCUAACUAGUGAACCCGAUAGACGUUGUUCUGUUAAAAAAAAACUCUCGCCGAUGGAAUUUCGUAAAAUCCGUUCUUAGCUGAGGUCAGCUACUACUCGACGAAAGGAAUAUUCCUACCAAAUUUCAAGUCUCUACGCCUUAUGGCUCCAGAGAUAUAGUGAUGAGUGACUAUAUACGUGGAAAACUCUUAUAUAUAUAGAUUGACCAUGGGAAAUGGAUUUUCUAGAUUCAGACCACAAACUUUCAAGAAUUGGCCUUGAGAUUUGUUAAUGGUCAUGGCGAAUGCAAGACGGAUCGGAAAUUAAAGAUUUGCGGGCUAACUUGACAUGCAAAAUGUUCAUGAAGUAGUUGCUGUAGAUCAUGAAGAAUUGCUAUUAUCAUAGAUGCAUUGAUCUCUUCAUGUCGUUGUUCCUCCAUGGUGCCCAUGAAAUAUUAUUGUUAAAAUUUAUGGUGUGCAUCAUUGAGAGAUUGCAAUGGUCCAAUUCGAUGGUGAAUCUGUCCUUCUAUCUACAAAAUCAAAGGCAAAGUCCGAUUUGUAAACACUUAUUUUUAGAAUUAGCAUACAUAAUACAUAGGAAUAAGUAUAGUAGGUAUGUUAUUCUUCUACUGUAUUGUGUGUAAGAAUAUAAAUAAAUCAAUACCCUGAAUGUGGGAUUAAAUCGUCGUUCUUAGGCUGGCUACGCACUGGCGACCAUGGUCGCCGCGACCUGGCCGCGGCGGCCAUUGAAUUCUGGACUUUAUAUGGCCAUCGCUAUAGCCUAUGCACUUAGCGGCUAGCGACCAGCGGCCACCGUUGGCAGCGGCGUCUAAUUUGAUGCCACGCGACCAGCGACCAAUCGUGGCCGUCGAGAAUAUCACUACUGUAGUAAAAUUCAUCAGUGCUACCGCAUCGGCCGCGGUGACCAGACGUGUAUAGCUACAGAGUGAUUAUUUUACAAUGGCCAAUAAUUUCGACACGGAAAGGUUCAUAAUUGAAGUUGAAAAUAGAAGAGGUUUAUGGGAUUUAUCAUCAAAUGAUUACUCCAAUAAAGAUGUUAAGCGGCAGUUGUGGCUUGAACUGUUCAAUAUAUUUGGCGGUGAAUCCAUGGAAGAUAAAGAAAAGGCAGGA
This is a long non-coding RNA of Leptidea sinapis, 2095 nucleotides long. RefSeq lists it as uncharacterized. The transcript is spliced from 6 exons. The record is from RefSeq and is a predicted model, not a curated record. NCBI's taxonomy places the organism in Eukaryota, Metazoa, Arthropoda, Insecta, Lepidoptera, Pieridae.